RNAcentral lists this ribosomal RNA (249 nucleotides) under uncultured Myxococcales bacterium. RNAcentral describes it as "partial 16S ribosomal RNA". It matches the Rfam family "Bacterial small subunit ribosomal RNA", at positions 355 to 595 of the family's 1533-position model. The record is from RNAcentral. Lineage: Bacteria; Pseudomonadati; Myxococcota; Myxococcia; Myxococcales.
UGGGGAAUAUUGGGCAAUGGGCGCAAGCCUGACCCAGCCACGCCGCGUGAGUGAUGAAGGCCUUCGGGUCGUAAAGCUCUGUGGGGAGGGGCGAACAACUCUGCAUUUAAUACAUGCGGAGCCUGACGGUACCUCCUUAGCAAGCACCGGCUAACCCUGUGCCAGCAGCCGCGGUAAUACAGGGGGUGCAAACGUUGCUCGGAAUCAUUGGGCGUAAAGCGCGCGUAGGCGGUGCCCUAAGUUGGAUGU